GGGAGUAAAAGUCGUAACAAGGUUUCCGUAGGUGAGCCUGCGGAAGGAUCAUUAUUGUAUAACCGAGGUGCGAGGGCUGUCGCUGACCCGAAAGGUCGUGCACGCCCGAGUGCCCUCACACACAUCCAUCUCACCCCUAUGUGCACCACCGCGUGGGUCCCCCUUUGGCUUGUUCGGAGGGGGGCUUACGUUUUCACACAAACUUUGUAUGCAGUGUAGAAUGUAUUUUUUGUUUUUGCGAUCACGCAAUCAAUACAACUUUCAACAACGGAUCUCUUGGCUCUC
This 285-nucleotide unclassified non-coding RNA is filed under the name plant metagenome. RNAcentral's name for it is "partial contains small subunit ribosomal RNA, internal transcribed spacer 1, and 5.8S ribosomal RNA". The stretch from base 1 to 54 matches the Rfam family "Eukaryotic small subunit ribosomal RNA", at positions 1778 to 1831 of the family's 1831-position model. The record is from RNAcentral.